Molecule: ribosomal RNA, 510 nt
Filed under: uncultured bacterium
Lineage: Bacteria
Description: partial 16S ribosomal RNA
Rfam family: Bacterial small subunit ribosomal RNA
Source: RNAcentral
GACGAACGCUGGCGGCGUGCUUAACACAUGCAAGUCGAACGAAGAGCGAUGGAAGCUUGCUUCUAUCAAUCUUAGUGGCGCACGGGUGAGUAACGCGUAAUCAACCUGCCCUUCAGAGGGGGACAACAGUUGGAAACGACUGCUAAUACCGCAUACGAUCUAAUCUCGGCAUCGAGGAUAGAUGAAAGGUGGCCUCUACAUGUAAGCUAUCACUGAAGGAGGGGAGUGCGUCUGAUUAGCUAGUUGGCGGGGUAACGGCCCACCAAGGCGAUGAUCAGUAGCCGGUCUGAGAGGAUGAACGGCCACAUUGGGACUGGGACACGGCCCAGACCCCUACGGGAGGCAGCAGUGGGGAAUCUUCCGCAAUGGACGAAAGUCUGACGGAGCAACGCCGCGUGAGUGAUGACGGCCUUCGGGUUGUAAAGCUCUGUUAAUCGGGACGAAAGGCCUUCUUGCGAAUAGGGAGAAGGAUUGACGGUACCGGAAUAGAAAGCCACGGCUAACUACGUG